UCCCUUGUAGCUCAGUCGGUAAAGAAUCUGCCUGCAAUGCAGGAGACCUGGGUUCGAUUCCUGGGUCAGGAA
Molecule: non-coding RNA, 72 nt
Organism: Bos taurus (domestic cattle)
Lineage: Eukaryota; Metazoa; Chordata; Mammalia; Artiodactyla; Bovidae
Source: Rfam